Eucalyptus grandis is the source of this 896-nucleotide long non-coding RNA. RefSeq lists it as uncharacterized. Lineage: Eukaryota; Viridiplantae; Streptophyta; Magnoliopsida; Myrtales; Myrtaceae. The record is from RefSeq and is a predicted model, not a curated record. The transcript has 2 exons.
AAACCACGGCCCCCAUUUCCCCAUUUUCCCCCUUCGAUGAUUCUCUCAAAUCGAUUUGCCGAAAUGAGUAGGUUUUCUCAUGGUCUUCUUCUUUGAUUGUGUGGAUUAGAUUGGCCAUAUGGAAGUACCCUGUGAUCUGGCGGACCUUCCGCCGGAGCUGAUCACCGAUGUAUUGGAACGAGUCGCGAAGGAGUUGCUGCUCCGGCCCAGGUGCGUGUCCACACGGUGGCGUCGCUUGAUAGACGAACGUUUCUUCAACUCUGAGGUCCGAAAACCAUAUGAAAACUGCAGCAUCCCUUUUCACGGUCGAACCUGUUUGUUGGAGCCAACACCUAAUAUAAUAAUAAGAAGCCAAAGAGAAGUGUGCUGCAGCGCCACUUCUUAAACCGCCAAAGAAGAGAAUUCUUGAAGAAGCCACGAGCUGAUCAAGAAAAGGGGGGCACACAUUAUAAGAUAUUAUAGGAGCUUCAAGAAGCAGAAAAGCAAGCUUCAACCGGCUAACUUGAACGUGAAGGAAAAGUUGCAGCCCACAAUUGUUGACUCCUUAGCCAAGAAGAAAAGUUCAACUUCAGCUCUUGCAUGUUGAAGUCAAAGGCGGUAGAGUCCAGGCGGUGGAAGAUGUCUAUAAAUAGGGCUUGGGAGUGCAAACGCAAGGCAGGCCACACGAGCUGAGAGAAGAAGAGAUUAAGACACAGUCUGUCAAGAGAGAAACCAAGGUGUGAGCCUCAGGAGGCACUGCAGCCUCAGAGCAAGUUAUCCCUUCGUGAUCGAGAAGGGAGAAUAGAAUAGUUGAGUGUGCUUGAGUGUGAGUCUUUUGUACGUGGUGUGAGAGAGAAAAUAUAUUGUAACAGAUUGUUUAUUUUGAGUGUUAUACUUAUACCGCAAUUUUAGUAUAA